This 492-nucleotide ribosomal RNA is filed under the name uncultured bacterium. Its description in RNAcentral is "partial 16S ribosomal RNA". It matches the Rfam family "Bacterial small subunit ribosomal RNA", at positions 29 to 507 of the family's 1533-position model. The record is from RNAcentral.
AAUGAACGCUGGCGGCAUGCCUAACACAUGCAAGUCGAACGAAAACACAGGGAGCUUUUGCUCUUGCGGGUGGCGGGGGACGGACGAGUAACUUGUGCAUGGCAUACCUCUAUGACUGGGGUGAUAACGGAGGACAAGGUAUACUAACACAUCAUAUAUCGUACUUGAUGGGGCAAUCGUUAAAUUCGCUUUUUGCUAUAGUAAAAGCCGAUUUCGGAUUCGCUAGUUGGUUGGGUAAAGGGGUACCAAGGCAACGAUACGUAGCAGGUCUGAGAGGAUGAUCAGCCACACUGGAACUGAGACACGGUCCAGACUCCUACGGGAGGCAGCAGUCGGGAAUCUUGCGCAAUGGGCGAAAGCCUGAUAGAGCAACACCGCGUGAGUGAUGAAGGACUUCGGGUCGUAAAGCUCUGUUGUUCGGAAAGAAAAAAAGCAGAUUUACCCAUGGACGUCAUGACGGUACCUAAAGAAUAAGCCCCGGCUAACUCCGUG